UGGGGAAUAUUGCGCAAUGGGCGAAAGCCUGACGCAGCCAUGCCGCGUGUGUGAAGAAGGCCUUCGGGUUGUAAAGCACUUUCAGUGGGGAGGAAAGAGCCCAGGCUAAUACCCUGGGUCGUUGACGCUACCCACAGAAGAAGCACCGGCUAAUUCCGUGCCAGCAGCCGCGGUAAUACGGAAGGUGCGAGCGUUAAUCGGAAUUACUGGGCGUAAAGCGCGCGUAGGCGGCUUGGUAAGUCGGAUGUGA
This 250-nucleotide ribosomal RNA is filed under the name uncultured bacterium. Its description in RNAcentral is "partial 16S ribosomal RNA". It matches the Rfam family "Bacterial small subunit ribosomal RNA", at positions 355 to 597 of the family's 1533-position model. The record is from RNAcentral.